Molecule: long non-coding RNA, 920 nt
Filed under: Homo sapiens (human)
Lineage: Eukaryota; Metazoa; Chordata; Mammalia; Primates; Hominidae
Description: HSALNT0393370
Source: RNAcentral
UCCACCUCAGCUUCCCGAGCAGCUGGGACUACAGCUACGCAGACAUUGUGCUGGAAUUUCUAUGCUGAAGAAUUAAGCUAUAUUGUUUGGCAAAAGAAGAAACUGAAAACAAGAAAUCCAUCCCUUUCUACCACUGCUAUUAUAUCAUCCACGUUUAAAAAAAAAAAGUUUGUAUGUAGUUAUAUACAACAAGAAGUUUCUGCUUCGGAUUUCUCUGUUGGGCAGGGUGGUGGGAGGGAUGGGGUCUCGAGUUUUUCCCAAGUGAAAUCCUGGUAAUCCUGCCUGAGAGAAUUCUUAUGAAAGUUUCACUCACAAUGAAAGCAAACUUCCAAGGUGGAGGAGGGUGAAGCCGGCUGGCUGGACCGAUCACUGAGGCCCAGUGCUGCGAAGAGAGUUCAGCACAUUAUUCCAACCCUUUCUGGGAGCACGGCCCAGGCUUGGCACCGGUUUGGUGUUCUCGAGUGUGAUGCAUUCUGAAAACCUGGCUGCGUCCGUGGCCCAGCUCCAGUUCUGCAGGGCUCAGCAUCAGGCUGCCCCCUCUCCUAAGGUGUUUUGCAGGAUCGCCCCUCAGAGCUAAACACCCACCAGCUGACCACCUGUUCCAGGUGAUGGGAUUUUGGCUCAGAUCAGCCUGGAUCAGGGUGGACCUCUACAAGCUGGCUUGCAUGAAUGUAAAUGUCUGCUGCCCAUCUUGAAGACCAUCGGCAAGCUUUGGUGGGUUCAUAUUCAGUGGCAUUAGGGAUUAAGGCAAACUUAAAAUGAUUCUGAGUGUAAACAGAUACAGAUAUAAACUUUUGGGGGAACAAUUUGGUAAUAGCUAAUAACAAUCGUUAAAAUGUUUAUAUCCUUUGACCUGAUAGUGUUAGUUCUAAGAAUUUACCUUAAGAAAAUAAAUAAAUUUAUAUCCCAUGAUAUCUUCA